UACGUAGGGGGCAAGCGUUGUCCGGAAUCAUUGGGCGUAAAGCGCGCGUAGGCGGCCCGGUAAGUCCGCUGUAAAAGUCCAGGGCUCAACCCUGGAAAGCCGGUGGAUACUGUCGGGCUAGAGUCCGGAAGAGGCGAGUGGAAUUCCGGGUGUAGCGGUGGAAUGCGUAGAGAUCCGGAAGAACACCGGUGGCGAAGGCGGCCUGCUGGGCAGUGGCUGACGCUGAGGCGCGACAGCGUGGGGAGCAAACAGG
RNAcentral lists this ribosomal RNA (253 nucleotides) under uncultured bacterium. Its description in RNAcentral is "partial 16S ribosomal RNA". It matches the Rfam family "Bacterial small subunit ribosomal RNA", at positions 524 to 776 of the family's 1533-position model. The record is from RNAcentral.